This 97-nucleotide ribosomal RNA is filed under the name Triportheus aff. rotundatus. The record is from RNAcentral. Lineage: Eukaryota; Metazoa; Chordata; Actinopteri; Characiformes; Triportheidae.
UACGCCCGAUCUCGUCCGAUCUCGGAAGCUAAGCAGGGUCGGGCCUGGUUAGUACUUGGAUGGGAGACCCCCUGGGAAUACCAGGUGCUGUAAGCUU